This 400-nucleotide ribosomal RNA is filed under the name uncultured Brevundimonas sp. RNAcentral's name for it is "bacterial SSU rRNA". It matches the Rfam family "Bacterial small subunit ribosomal RNA", at positions 354 to 771 of the family's 1533-position model. Lineage: Bacteria; Pseudomonadati; Pseudomonadota; Alphaproteobacteria; Caulobacterales; Caulobacteraceae. The record is from RNAcentral.
GUGGGGAAUCUUGCGCAAUGGGCGAAAGCCUGACGCAGCCAUGCCGCGUGAAUGAUGAAGGUCUUAGGAUUGUAAAAUUCUUUCACCGGGGACGAUAAUGACGGUACCCGGAGAAGAAGCCCCGGCUAACUUCGUGCCAGCAGCCGCGGUAAUACGAAGGGGGCUAGCGUUGCUCGGAAUUACUGGGCGUAAAGGGCGCGUAGGCGGAUCGUUAAGUCAGAGGUGAAAUCCCGGAGCUCAACUUCGGAAUUGCCUUUGAUACUGGCGAUCUUGAGUGUGAGAGAGGUAUGUGGAACUCCGAGUGUAGAGGUGAAAUUCGUAGAUAUUCGGAAGAACACCAGUGGCGAAGGCGACAUACUGGCUCAUUACUGACGCUGAGGCGCGAAAGCGUGGGGAGCAA